UUUCCUUAGUUUGAAUCGGUUCAAAUUUUUGAACUAUUUGACGUAUAAACAAACUUGUACGCGUAUAAGUUUUAUUAUGGUUAACAUUUUUAAUAGAUAAACGUUGUGAGUGAAAAAGUGUUUAAUUUCUAUGCUACGUAAAAUCUAACGUUUUUAAUAAAUACAUUUUAAUUUGUUCUAAGUGAAUUUAUCAGAUAUUCUUAAACUUUUUUCGAUACAAUUACGGUAUAUUAAAAAAUGGAUAACCUAUUUGGUAAAGAAGAUUCUGGAAAUGAAAGUGAGCAUGUGGAAAUAGAUGAUAAAGAUGAAAAAUUUAGUAUUUCACAAAAUUCUACAUCCAAGGAUAUCGAAAAUAUGGACAUAGAUGGUUUACCAAUAAAGGGAGAACUGGAUACUAUGAGUUCUCAAUCUCAAUCAGAUACAGAAGAAAUAGGUUCUAAUUCUAUAUGUAUGACGAUGGAUGAUCAAUUGGAAAUAGUAAAACAUGAAAUUGAAAUUGAAAAUAAAGAAGAAGAACAAAGUACAGAAGAUAUUUUUGGCAAUGACAUUAUGUUACCUCGUGUUAAUCAUACUAGUAUUAAAGAAAGAAGGGAAAGUAAAGAAAAAAGUAAAAAAGAGUUAGAAGAAGAGGAAAGGGAGAAAAUGCAAGUACUUGUCUCUAAUUUUACUGAAGAUCAAUUAGAUAGAUAUGAAAUGUAUAGGCGAGCUGCAUUUCCAAAAGCAGCAAUAAAGAGGAUUAUGCAAACUAUAACAGGUUGUUCUGUAUCGCAAAAUGUUGUGAUUGCAAUGUCGGGUAUUGCUAAAGUAUUUGUUGGGGAAAUUGUAGAAGAAGCUUUAGAUGUAAUGGAAGCUAAUGGAGAAACAGGACCAUUACUACCCAAACAUUUAAGAGAAGCAGUUCGUAGAUUAAGACUUCAAGGUCAAAUUCCAAAUGGACGUGCACAUAAAGCAUUUUUUAGAUUAUAGAUAAUAUAUUAUUUCUCCCUUAUAGUUGUGAUAAAAGAAAUAUUUUGUUGAUUGAAAUUGUGUAUAAUAUCGAUUAUAAUAUAAUAAUGAUAAUAUCUAUUAUUGAAUUUGCCUGUUCAAGGCUAUUCAUGACAAGUUUUAUAAUGGUUUUACAAUGGUUUUAAUAUUUUUUUGCACCAAUAAUGAAUGCAAAAAAAAAUUCUUGACAGAUUUUGAAGAACAAAGCUUUAUUUACUCCGCAAAAAUUUGUAUCAAUAAAUGACUUUUUUUCUUUUUUUUUUUCUUUUUUUUUUUAGAAUAGUUCAUACAUAAAAAUAAAGCUUUUUAAUUUUAUAUGUAUAUUUGUUCUAACGAUAUAAAGUGUAUAUAUGUAAUAUUACACAACUUAUAAUACGCGUUAAAUAUAAAACAACUUUGAUAUUUAAUAUUUAAUUUAAUAAUAUAUUAUAUACGAUAUAUAACAAAUUAAUUUAUCUUCUGAGAAAUAUAAUUUUACGUAGAAAAAUUUUUUUCAUACAUUCGAGUAUUUGAUUACGCAGUAACGUGGUAUAACCUAUAUAAACUUAUACAUCGAUGCUAGUAGUGGGGUCGUGUAGUGGGGAUAGUAUUUUCGUGCGCAGUUGUAGUUCGCAUUUCGUCCGUAGCUGUCGCUUAAGUCAGAUAACAUAACCAUACGCUACGAAGGAGUGGUGGUGAACGGACGUAGAAGUGAACGUAUGAUUUGGAUGAUUGGGAUGAUUGGGGCGCGUGGAGUCCUUGCAGUGUAACGUGUGGAUGUGGACAACAAGUUCGUUGGCGUCAUUGUAUAACGGAUGAUUGCAUAAAAGGGUUAAAAAAAGCACAA
Molecule: RNA transcript, 1810 nt
Organism: Vespula vulgaris
Lineage: Eukaryota; Metazoa; Arthropoda; Insecta; Hymenoptera; Vespidae
Gene: Taf11
Gene name: transcription initiation factor TFIID subunit 11
Exons: 6
Source: RefSeq, a predicted model, not a curated record